AAACAUCUAGAUGAUGGG
RNAcentral lists this small nuclear RNA (18 nucleotides) under Arabidopsis thaliana (thale cress). RNAcentral's name for it is "snRNA_08522". Lineage: Eukaryota; Viridiplantae; Streptophyta; Magnoliopsida; Brassicales; Brassicaceae. The record is from RNAcentral.